CCUACGGGGGGCAGCAGUGGGGAAUAUUGGACAAUGGGGGGAACCCUGAUCCAGCCAUGCCGCGUGUGUGAAGAAGGCCCUCGGGUUGUAAAGCACUUUCAGGGAGGAAGAACGCCUGUGGGUUAAUACCCAUCAGGAAAGACAGCACUCACAGAAGAAGCACCGGCUAACUCCGUGCCAGCAGCCGCGGUAAUACGGAGGGUGCGAGCGUUAAUCGGAAUUACUGGGCGUAAAGCGCGCGUAGGUGGCUUGAUAAGCCGGUUGUGAAAGCCCCGGGCUCAACCUGGGAACGGCAUCCGGAACUGUCAAGCUAGAGUGCAGGAGAGGAAGGUAGAAUUCCCGGUGUAGCGGUGAAAUGCGUAGAGAUCGGGAGGAAUACCAGUGGCGAAGGCGGCCUUCUGGACUGACACUGACACUGAGGUGCGAAAGCGUGGGUAGCAAACAGGAUUAGAUACCCCAGUAGUC
RNAcentral lists this ribosomal RNA (465 nucleotides) under Vreelandella stevensii. RNAcentral describes it as "partial 16S ribosomal RNA". It matches the Rfam family "Bacterial small subunit ribosomal RNA", at positions 338 to 795 of the family's 1533-position model. The record is from RNAcentral. Lineage: Bacteria; Pseudomonadati; Pseudomonadota; Gammaproteobacteria; Oceanospirillales; Halomonadaceae.